Molecule: non-coding RNA, 150 nt
Organism: Gossypium hirsutum (cotton)
Lineage: Eukaryota; Viridiplantae; Streptophyta; Magnoliopsida; Malvales; Malvaceae
Source: Rfam
UUAUAAAAAUUUCAUCAAUUUGUAUUCUUAAAAACUAGCAUGGCAUGGCUGACAAAAUAAUCAUACAAUAACAUAUGGCGUGUCAUGUGUACUUCAUGCUAGCUUACAUGAACCACUUUUUAAUUGUAGAAAUGGUUUGAAUUUUUAAUA